UUGAAAUGUGCGGGAGGCAUUUGCACGUCACACAUAUUUAUAAUUCUUUUCCAGAUCAAAGAAAGAAAGAAGGGAAGGAAGGAAGGAAGGAAGGAAGGAAGGAAGGAAGGAAGGAAAGAAGAAAAUGCCUGCAAAUCCUUGGUCGUACAUACUUUCUGGUGUUUGACAUCUCCCAGACGUGGUUUGAACUUUGAACAGUCUUAUGGAAACUUUGAGAUCGUGGAAGAACCGCUCUCCCCCUGACACUGUAACAGGAACUCAUACUGAUAUUGGCUUGUUAAGUUACAGAGCAUGUGGGUUCCCAUCAGUCGACAGGGGCUGGUGUCUGAUCCUCGAAAGUAAUUUCACAGAUGUGGAAAUAGAGACGCGGAAAAGCGAUAACUCAUCCAAGUUCCCACAGCCAGCGAGUGACGGAGCUGAGCUUCGAGUCCAUGCAGCUUCCCUUGGGACUCCAUCCUUCCUCUUCUGCGGGUGGAGGUCACAAGUACCCUGCUGGGGAAAUCGAGGGCUGAGUCCUCAUAUGUCACAGCGGCCUGUUGGCAACCAACGUCCCACGCCGUCAGAGGUAGACGUGGAGGAAACGUACCUCCCAUACAUCGAUGGCGGGAGUGUUAAAUGGUACGGUCACUUUGAAAAACUCUUUGGCCAUUUUUUAAAAUAUAAUUUAUUGUCAAAUUGGCUAACGUACAGUGUGUAA
This 697-nucleotide long non-coding RNA is filed under the name Felis catus (domestic cat). RNAcentral describes it as "lncRNA (ENSFCAG00000048986.1)". The record is from RNAcentral. Lineage: Eukaryota; Metazoa; Chordata; Mammalia; Carnivora; Felidae.